Long non-coding RNA from Mustela erminea (ermine), 725 nucleotides. RefSeq lists it as uncharacterized. The record is from RefSeq and is a predicted model, not a curated record. Lineage: Eukaryota; Metazoa; Chordata; Mammalia; Carnivora; Mustelidae. The transcript has 3 exons.
UCUCAGGGUUGUGAGUUUGAACCCCAUAUUGGGUAUAGAGACUACUUAAAGAUAAAUUUUUAAAAUUAUGCUUACAAACAAAAUUAUGCUUAUAUUUGAUAAAAGGCUUGAUAAGAAGACAUUUGAGUGGUUACUGACUGUAAGUAACAAAAAAAGAGUUGUGGGUUUGAGUGAAGCAAAGCAUCCUGCAAAAUUGGGCGGUUGGUGGCAAUGCUUUCAUUAUCAUUGAAAAGCCCAUAUUUAUGUGUGCACGUCCACAUGAGGAUCUGAGUUACCCAGUCACACUGAAAGGAUGUUGGACAGAUGCUGGAUGAAGAUGACCCCUGAUACAGAGCACCUGGUGAUUUUUUGGGAGAUAAAGUGAAAACCUGUGGGAAUGGGCUGAGCUGAGAUCACAACAUACGAGACAGACCUCAGAGAGCAAACCGAGAGAACAGGGCUGGUCACACAGGUCAUAUCACAAAGAAUGACUGGUGUGAUAAAGAACUCACGAUGACCACUAGACCUUCAAUACGCCUGUCAUGGGAAGUCAAAAUCAUAUGAUUUAAUUCUCUAAAGGAAGAGUAGGGUCCCUGAAGGUGAAAAAUUAGUGCUGAGAAAAAUACCCUAGUCACUGCUCCUGUGGAUGGCUGUGUUCAGGUUACCCUUACAACAAUGUGACGGCCCAAGUGCCAGAGCUCUACAAAUCCCACCGGAGGGGCUGUCAGGGCAUUCAGUUUAUAAUG